Molecule: ribosomal RNA, 253 nt
Filed under: uncultured bacterium
Lineage: Bacteria
Description: partial 16S ribosomal RNA
Rfam family: Bacterial small subunit ribosomal RNA
Source: RNAcentral
UACGUAGGGUGCAAGCGUUAAUCGGAAUUACUGGGCGUAAAGCGCACGUAGGCGGCUUUGUAAGUUAGAGGUGAAAGCCCGGGGCUCAACUCCGGAAUUGCCUUUAAGACUGCAUCGCUAGAAUUGUGGAGAGGUAAGUGGAAUUCCGAGUGUAGAGGUGAAAUUCGUAGAUAUUCGGAAGAACACCAGUGGCGAAGGCGACUUACUGGACACAUAUUGACGCUGCGGUGCGAAAGCGUGGGGAGCAAACAGG